Molecule: long non-coding RNA, 1479 nt
Filed under: Musa acuminata (dwarf banana)
Lineage: Eukaryota; Viridiplantae; Streptophyta; Magnoliopsida; Zingiberales; Musaceae
Description: long non-coding RNA (MACU_LNC008175)
Source: RNAcentral
UUACUGUUUUAUACACAAAGGGGUACAAGAAUCCUUACAUAUGCAACUUCAGGUCUCUUAGGAAAACAUCAUGUUUGACACAAAGAUGGACAUAACCAACCUGAGAGUAGUGCCAAAAGACAUCGAGCACCAGUGCUUCAUUUGCUUGCAUCCUAGGGCUUAAAGGUGCUUAAUGGUUAAUGCAUUUUGAUCAUCCCGUCCUUAUUCUCCUGUCCGAGACUGCUGAAGAACCAAGAGUUCAUGUUCCUAACCUGGCCAAUUUAAAUAAAGGUGAAAGCCAUCAGAUUUAUGUUUCGUUUGUUAUUAUAAAGGGAACAAAGAAGGAGAAAAUGCCGUGUCCUCAAAGCAGAAAUAGUUGAUGUGAACAAUGAAAGUAAACAUACCAUGGAAUUUCUGAAUUUAUCCUGGAAGCAUUUUGUCAGUAUGGCCAGGGGAAUUUGCCACAAAAUAAAGGAUAAUGUAGCAUCUAGGGGAAAUGUAUCCUUAUCCAAGCAAUAGGAAAAAGAAACACAUCUUUGAUCAGGCAAAAGUGGCAAUUCAAUAGAUGCCUUUCUAUAGAAAAAGAGAAGGAUUCAUGUACCCUCCAAGUCCAACAAAGGAUUUAUACACUACUAUCACAUCAUAAAAAAAGGAACUUGAACAGUCCGUACUGGGCCGAAGUAGCAUAAAAAAUGGAGAAAUUUGGUUGCCUGCAAUUAGUCUGUUUGUAAGUCCUUUCGCGACAAGCAUCUUACUCACAAAUAUUUGAUUACUUGCAAUUAAGCCAUUUGUACCACGUGUACAUAUAAUUGAACCCUUACAUACUGCAAAUAAACUCACAAUCUAAAACGUCACAUGUCACAUUUGUGGAUUGGAUUGCAGUUGCAACUACAACCUAUAGGUAUUUGUUUUUUGCUUAUAAUCACUACAUGUUGUCAUUUAUGGUUAUAGGCAACCAAAUGCCCCCAUAUACAGCUAAUCUAAUUCAUCAUUUAUGUUUUUUCACCCUGAAAUAAAAAAGAAAAGAAAGCAAGAAAGGAAUGAUAAAGAAUGCACAAAUAGAAUGUGCAAAGCAGUGGAUCACUAUCAGGCUUCGAGGUCUUCAAAAUCUGCUGCUCUCUCUCAACCUGCCACAAUCAUAUAUUAUCAACAUAUGCAAGGCAGCACUAUCAAUGCUGCAUGCAUCUAUAUAAUACACAUAAGUGUUAGAAUGAAGAUGCAGAGUAGAAAACAUAUUAGCUGUGUUGCAAAUGCAGGGUCCCAUGCUCAUGAUGCACAAGAACUUCAUGGGCUAGGUGGUGUGACGGUACUGAUUGUGCCAAUCCAUGUGGAGCCCAUGCCAGCCGAAUGGCCAUGUACUUGGGUUAUAAGGGCACAGGUAUUUGGCAUGCACCAUUGCAUCAAGUCAGAUUAAUCUCGUGCGGUAUAUGGCAUCACAGGAAACAAUUCAAAAUCAAGACUAAACCCACCAAAGACUGUUAUACAUGGUGCAUAACAUAC